Molecule: non-coding RNA, 15028 nt
Organism: Oryctolagus cuniculus (rabbit)
Lineage: Eukaryota; Metazoa; Chordata; Mammalia; Lagomorpha; Leporidae
Source: RefSeq, a predicted model, not a curated record
GUUAGACAGUGAGAGAGAGACAGAGAGAGAAAGGUUUUCCUUCCAUUGGUUCACCCCCCAAAUGGCUUCUACGGCCAGCGUGCUGCGCUGAUCCGAAGCCAGGAGCCAGGUGCUUCCUCCUGGUCUCCUAUGCGGGUGCAGGGCCCAAGCACUUGGGCCAUCCUCCACUGCCUUCCUGGGCCACAGCAGAGAGCUGGACUGGAAGAGGAGCAACAGGGACAGAAUCCGGCGCCCCGAAUGGUACUAGAACCCGUGGUGCUGGCGCCUCAGGUAGAGGAUUAGCCUAGUGAGCCACAGGGCCGACAUGUGAGUUCAUUUUUAACUACAGUUGAAUUUUGGCUUUUCAGAUGGACUUCUUAGAUUUACUGAGGAGUUUCUAAAGAAUAUUAUAAAAAUUUUCAUAUGUACAUGAAAGUAGAAAUACUAUUAUGAACCAAUAAACUUCCCCAUUAUCUAUACUCAGUAGUUGAUUAUAAUUGGCCAUAUUUGUUUUGUCUAUCUCUUCUCUAAAUUACUUUAAGAAUAAAUAAAAAUCUCAGAUAUGUCAUUUCAUCCCUGCCUGCUUUAAGCUUGUUUAAAAUGCUAUACACUUUAUAUGAUGAUAAUGUCAUUUGCUGAGGAUGUUUUUUAUUUAAAAAAUUUAGAGAGGCAUCAAUCCAGGUUUUGCUGUUAGGAAUAAAUAAAAUUUUUAGAGUGCUUAGAAAUGUGUCACUUCUUUGAUAAAACUCAUUGUGUGUUAUGAUCCUGUCCUGGUUAAUGACUACAGUAGAUAGCUAAGACAUUAUUCCUAGAAGCAGCUCUUGGAAAGCCCAGGCAUACAAUCUUUUUUUUUUUUUUUUUUUUUUUGACAGGCAGAGUGGACAGAGAGAGAGAGAGAAAGGUCUUCCUUUUGCCGUUGGGUCACCCUCCAAUGGCUGCCGCGGCCAGCACGCUGCGGCCGGCGCAUUGCACUGAUCCGAAGCCAGGAGCCAGGUGCUUCUCCUGGUCUCCCAUGCGGGUGCAGGGCCCAAGCACCUGGGCCAUCCUCCACUGCACUCCUGGGCCACAGCAGAGAGCUGGCCUGGAAGAGGAGUAACUGGGACAGAAUCCGGCGCCCCGACUGGGACUAGAACCCGGUGUGCCAGCGCCAAAAGGCAGAGGAUUAGCCUAUUGAGCCACGGCGCCGGCUCCAGGCAUACAGUCUUUCACUUUACCUCUGCUGCUGGCUUGCUCUUUACUUGUACCAAGUUCAGUACCUUUUUGUUUUGUUUUGUUUUGUUUUAAAGAUUCAUUUAUUCACUUUAAAAGCAGAGUUAGAGAUUUUGCAUCUGCUGGGUCACUUCCACUAAUGGCUACAUUAGCCAGCCCAAAGCCGGGAGCCAAGAACUUCAUCCUGGUGUUCAUGUGGGUGGCAGGAGCCCAAGCACUUGGGCCAUUUUCUGCUGCUGUCUCAGGCACAUUAGCAGGGAGCUGGAUCAGAAGUGGAGCAGCUGGGACUUGAACUGGUGCUCACAUGGGAUGCUGGCAUUGCAGGUGGCAGCUUAACCCACAGUCACAAUGCUGGCCUCAAGUUCAGUACCCUUAAUUGGCACAUCCCCAUCUAAAUUUGCAGCAGAAUGAAGAACACAGAAUUUUAUAAUUAAGUAGUAUUUUUAAGUGGAUCUACUGUGUUGGACAUUGUUAGGUAAAAAUGGAAAUAUAGGAAACCUUCAGGGUAGAUAGGAAAGCACAAAUUAAAUAAUUUGCUAUUAAACAGUAUGGAAGGGUGCUUAGUAAUUUUUGGUGGCUUUUGCAUUAUGGUUUUUCAAUUAAAUACUAAAUCAUGCUGAUCAGGAAACACAGGUAUGUAGUAUGUGUUAAUAUAAAAAUGUAAAUUAGGUGUUGGAAAGGAAUGAGGCUAAAGUUGGGAGAGAACAGAUGAUACAAGAAUUUGUAUAAUGAAUAAAAAGUAUGUGUUUUUUAAAAGAUUUCUUUAUUUAUUUUAAAGUCAGAGUUACAGAGAGGGAGGGAGAGACAGAGAUCUUGUAUCCCUUGGUUCAUUCCCCAGAUGGCGACAAUGACUGUGGCUGGGCCAUGCCAAAGCCAGGAGCCAGAACCUUCAUCCAGGUCCCAUACAUGGGUGGCAGGGGUCCAAGUACAUGGGCCGUUUUUCACUGCUUUCUCCAGGCGGUUAGCAGCCAGCUGGAUUGGAAGUGGAGCAGUUGGGACUUGAAUCAGGGUCCAUAUGGAUGCCAGCGACACAAGCGGUGGCUUUGCCCGCUAAGCCACAAUUGCUGACCCCUGUUGUGUGUAUUUUAAACAGUGGAGUGAUAAGAUCAAAUUUGUGUUUUGAGGAUAACUUGUAAGAUCAGUUUUGGAGAGAGGGAGGGCAAGGGAAGGUAUGUGGUAGUGCAGGAGAGAACAGUAGUCGAUACCACAGGGAAUAAUAGGUAGUGGUGGUUAGAUGUUGGGUGGAGAUGGAUGUCUAUAGAAGUGGUUGAAUUUGACAGAUACUCAGGAGGUGAAAAUCCACCAGGUUGGUGAGAGCUAGAGAUUAAACAGGUAUGGCUACUGAGAAGCAGUGAUAAUACUGGCUUGACUGGUCUGUCAUAGUUUUUUUUUUUUUCUUAACUCUUUGAUAGACUAAACUUUUUAAUUAAGCUCACUAGCAGUCAACAAAUGGAAUUUUUGUCAUAAACAAGCUUUUUCAAAUGGGUUUUCAAAUCCUCUUGCCCCUUUUAAAUGUAUGUAUUUAAGAGACAGAGAAACAGUGACACAGAGGUCUCCCAUCUAUUGUUUUCUCUCCAAAUGCCAGCAAUUACUGGGACUGGGUUUUGCAGAAGCCAGGAGCUGGGAACUCAUUCCAGAUCUUCCAUGUGAGUGGCAGAGACCCAACCACUUGAGUCAUCACCUGCAAUCUCCCAGGCUCAGCAUUGGCAGGAUGCUGGAACUGGACACUGAAGCUAGAACUUGAACCCUGGCACUCCAGUAUGGGACCAAAGCAUCUUAACUACUAGACCAAACAUCUGCCCCCUAGUUCUCCUGUUGAAACAGAUAUUCAGAUAUUUUGAACAGUUUUUAAUGACUUAUAUCAGGAGUCAGCAAACUUCUAGGAAAGGGACAGAUAGUAAAUAUUUUAGGCUUUGCAGACCUUUUAAUUUCUUUGCCUCUUUGUAAUGUGAAGUGAGCCAUAAAUAUAUAAAUGAAUGUAUGUGUUCCAAUAAAACUGUACUAGUGGGCACUGUAGUUUUAAUGUGUCAGUUUUUUUUAAAGAUGUAUUUAUUUAUUUGAAAGCCAGAGUUAUAGAAGCAAAAAGAGACAAACAGACGGACACACACACACGCGCGCACACAUCACACAGAGAAAGAUCUUCUGUCCUCUGAUUUACUCCCCAAAUGGCUGCAAUAGCCAGGGUCAGGCCAGGCUGAAGCCAGGAGCCUGGAAUUCCAUCCAAGUUUUCCACAUGGAUGGCAGAGGCCCCAGCACUUAGGCUGCUGUCCACUGCUUUCUCAGGUGAGUUAGCAGGGACGUGGAUUGGAAGUGGAACAUCUAGGACUUGAACUGGUGCUCGUAUUGGAUGCUUGUGUUGCAGGCUGCUUGACACACUGGGCCAUGAUGCUGACUCCGUGAAAUUUUCUUGUGUUUAAAAUAUUUUUUUUUCCAACCAUUUAAAAUGUGGGAAAUGUUCUUGAUUCAAGGACUCUGCAAAAACAGGCUAUGUGGGCAGGUGACCCCUGGGCCCAGACUUUACCAACUCCAGAAUUAGUCCAUCUGUUACGGCUUUAUAAGAAACUUAAGAUCGGGGCCAGCACUGUGGUGGAUUAAAGCCUUGGCCUGAAGCACCGGCAUCCCAUAUGGGCACCGGUUCGAUUCCCUGCUGUUCCUCUUCUGAUCCAGCUCUCUGCUGUGGCCUGGGAAAGCAGUGGAAGGUGGACUAAAUCCUUGGACUCCUGCACCCAUGUGGGAAGACUCAGAGGAAGCUCCUGCUCCUGGCUUCAGACUGAUGCAGCUCCGACUGACGCGGCCAUCUGGGGAGUGAACCAGUGGAUGGAAGACCUCUCUCGCUCCCUCUCCUCUCUGUAACUGUUUCAAAUAAAAUAAAAUAUUUUUAAAAAAGAGAAACUUUUAAGAUAAGUAGGCUGUUUUAAAUAUUAAUUCCUUUCAUUCCCAAGGAGUCAUAAGUCCUUAAGUUUAUAAUGCUAUAUUUGAUUCUUCCACUUGCCAGUUUAGGGGACCCAAGAGACAGGAAUACACGUAGAACUAAGGAACUACUAGCAAACCCAGUAUAGAUACGGGAAUAUUUAAUACAGAGAGAAUUUCCCAAAGAACAGUAUCUUUAAGAAGGUAAUUAACACAUUCUGAAGAGAAGUAGUUAGAGGUCAGCCAUUGGCGGAAAGAAAGUUAGCAUUUGUCAGACAACAAAUGUGCUGAGAAAGUAGAAGGAAGGUAGAGUUGGGUUCCAGUGCAGUCGCAGGUUGCUUGAUCUUGAGGAGUUGGUAUACCUUCUGUUAAACUUGAAAACUCUUGUAGAACCAGCCCUGUAGUUCUAACUCAGUUCUUGACACGAUAAAUCACAGUUUAAAUUAUGUAUGUAUUGUAUUAGGAAAUUGUAGCAGCAUUGUUUCAGUGUAAAUAGUAGUACCUCAGGUUUUAUUUGUGUAAACAAUAUGAUUACUGUCUAGCCAACUGCUGCAGUUAGAACUGAACUUUUAAUUAUGAUACUAAACUGUUAAUGUGGAUUUAGCCUUCAUGGUCACCUGUUCAUUUGUCAUGGUACCUCUAAAAAAUUAAAUUAUUGACAGUAACAGAGAGCACUUUUAACCAAAUACAUAUAAGAUUGUGAGGCAUCAAUGCCAAAAGGGUACUAAAGAAAAAAAUCUUACCUGGGCAAGCAUUUAAGGGUGCUCGCAUACCACGUUGGAGUACUUGAGUUUGAUGAAUGCCUCUGGCUCCUAUUCCAGCUUCUGGGAGGCAGCUGGUGAUGGUUCAAGUAAUUGCCACCUACUUGGGAGACUUGGAUGGAGUUCUUGGCUCCCAGUUUUGAGGAAUGAAGAGGCAGAUGGGAAAACUCAUGUUCUCCCCCAUCCCCGAUAUAUAUAUCUGCCUCUCAAAUAUAUACAUGAAAAAUUUUAAAGCCCUAUCAAAUGCUAGGGACAUUUGCAUUUGAUUAAAUAUCUUAAAAACACUUAUUUGGUAAAGAAUGUAGUGUUUGUGAUAAAUUUAUGUGAAAUACACGAAAUACUGAAUGGAAUUUAUGGUCAGUGGCAAAUCUCUGUCUACAACAUCAAAACCAAGUAACUUUCAGCUGAAAACAAUUCUUUUAAAUUUUAAAACUAUUUAUUUGAGAGGUAGAGUUACAGAGAGAAAGAUCCCAUCCACUGGUUCACUCCCUAAAUGGCCACAAUGGCCAGAGCUAGAUCUCUCCAGAGCCAGGAGCCAGGAGCUUCUUCCUGGUCUCCCAUGUGAUGCAGGGGCCCAAGCACUUGGGCCUUCUUCUUCCACUUUCUCAGGCCAUAGCAGAGAGCUGGAUCAGAAGAGGAACAGAUGGGACAUAAACAGGCGCCCAUAUGGGAUGCCAGCACCUCAGGUGGAAGCAUAGCCCACUACACCACAGCACCAGCCCCAACAUUAGACUUUUAAAAAAAAAUUUUUUUUUAGGAAGAGAAAGAGAGCAAGUAUGUUCCCAUCCCCUGGUUCACUCCCCACAUUCUUGUACUAGCCAGGAGUGGGCCAAGCUGAAACUGGGAGUUAGAAACCCAAUCUGGGUCUCCUAGGUGGGUAGCAGGGACCCAACCACUUGAGCCAUCACUUACUGCCUCCUAGGGACUGCAUUUGCAGGAAGCUGGAAUCCAGAGUGGAGCCAGGACUUGAACUCAGGUCCUCUGAUUUGGGACACAGUCGUCUUAACCUCUAGGCCCAAUGCCACCACUUGGUAAUUUUUUUAAAGAUUGAUUUAUUUAUUUGAAAGGCAGAGUUAGAGGCAGAGAGAGAGAGGUCUUCCAUUGUUGAUUCACUCCCCAGAUGGCUGCAAUAGCUGGGGCGCCAAUCUGAAGCCAGGAGCCGGGAGCUUCUUCCAGGUCUCCCAUGCGGUUGCGGGGGCCCAAGGACUUGGGCCAUCUUCUACUGCUUUUCCAGGCCAUAGCAGAGAGCUGGAUUGGAAGUGGAGCAGCUGGGACAUGAAUCAGUGCCCAUAUGGAAUGGUGGCACUGCGGGUGGCGGCUUUACCUGCUGCACCACAGCACCAGCCCCCACUUAGUAAUACUUUUUGAAAUCGUGGUUAUUAUUUAAAGUUUUAACUUUUAUUACUUUUAUCUUCUCACUUGCUAAAUUAGUAUAAUAAUAUAGGGAGAAAGACUUAUUUACAAGUAGGAUGCCCAGUAUUUUUUCUUUAAUCCUUUUUUAAAAAGUCUGAGAUACUUUUCAUUGGGAAAUCCAACCAUAGAAGUGGGACAAGAUUAUUUUUGUUCUUUCCUGUGUUUUCAUACAUGCCUGUACAAUUCUAACAGCAAUGCUUUUGCCACUUCUUGUUGGUCUUCAAGCCUGCUGAGCUGGGUUUUUUGUUCAUUUGCUUCUUUAAGUAGCUGUUCUUGGAGGGUCCUUUCUUCAUCUCUACAUCAUGAGUGAGUGGAUCAUUAAGAUUUACUUGAGGAGCCAGUGCUGUGGCGUAGUGGGUAAAGCUGCUGGCUGCUCCACUUCCAAUCCAGCUCUCUGCUGUGAACUGGGAAGGCAGUAGAAGAUGGCCCAAGUCCUUGGGCCCCUGCACCUACGUGGGAGACCUGGAAGAAGCUUCUGGCUUUUGGCUUUGGAUCAGCGCAGCUGGCUGUUGCAGCCAAUUGGGGAGUGAACCGUUGGAUGGAAGACCUCUCUCUCCCUACUUCUCCUCUCUUUAACUCUGACUUUCAAAUAAAUUAAAUCUUAAAAAAAAAAAAAGCAAGUCCUCUAAGAAUAACAUAGUUUCUCAUUUCACUCCCUGCUCUUUUGAAGUGCAUAUGCUUAUGGGUUUACUACCAUCCAGGGAGAAUUUAUACUGGGAUUGUUUAUCAGAAGAACGUGCCUCAUUAUGUUGCCUUUCUAGGCCUGGUCCUGUGGUUGAGUGGAGUGUGAAAACAUUUAAAUGCGUAUUUUGUGUGGAACAGCAGUAGAAGGCACCGACUAUUACAUACCAAAUAACUAGUGCAGAUUUAUGUUGAGAAAGUAACAGAGUGGGGUUAGCUGGGUUAAGCCGCCAUCUGCACUGCUGGCAUCCCAUAUGGGCCCUGGUUUGAGUUCUGGUUGCUCCACUUUCGAUCCAGCUUCCUAGUAGUGUGCCUGACAGAGCAGCAGAAGAUGGCCCGAGCGCUUGGGUUCCUGUACCCACAUAGGAGACCCAGAAUAAGCUACUGGCUCCAGGCUUCAGAUCGGUCCAGCUUCAGCUGUUGUGGGGAAUGAACUAGUAGAUGCAAGAUCUCUGUCUCUGUUUCUCUCUCUUUCUAUCUUUUUGUAACUACCUUUCAAAUAAAUAAAUCUUGAAAAAAAGAAAAUAAUAGACCUUGUGGUUUCUGCUCUAUGGUUGCCACCUCACCUUCUCCUACUUGAUAGAAAUUUUUUAUUUGUUUAUUUUGCCUCUGAUUCAGGUUACAUCCUGGUAGUUGGCAGCAUAAUAAAGUCUCCCUAGUGUGUGUGUGUGGGGGGGGCAUGGUGAGCCAUUGCUUUAAAAAUGUCAUUAAAUUGUUCAGAGCUACCUUUUAAAAAAUUACUUAGAAAAAGAGAAAGAUCCAUCUCCCCUGGCUCACUCCCCGGAUGCCCACAACAGCUGGGUGUGGGACAGGACCAGGGCUGAAGCCAAGAGCCAGGAACAUAAUGCAGGUAUCCUACAUGGGUGGUCUCCAGUCAUUGUGCUGUCCCUCUGCCUCCCAGGAUCUGCAUUACUGGGAACUUGGAGUCACGGAGACAGUGUAGUGAACCCCCAGUACUCAGGUGUAGGCUGUGGGCCUCUGACCCAGUAGGCCAGGUGGCUGCUCUCAGAGCUACUUUUUGAUUGCAAAGGGGAGAAUUGUGGAGAGGAAAAAACUCAAAUUUGGUCAAGAAGGAAGACCUAUUUGUUCAUUGAUUCCAUGAAUACUUAAUUGAAUAUCUACUUUGCGUUAGUAUAGUUCUAUGAAAUAGAUAUUUUGAUAUGGAUACAUGAAGAUCUCUUUUUGAAAACCUUCCUUAUGUUGUUGAAUUCAGGAAAAUUUUUUAAAAAGUUUUUAUUUGGAAGUCUUAAAAAUGUUGAAUUGGUAGUUUCAUUAAGAUUAUAACUGUUUCUAUAUAUCUUUAAUAAGUUUUUUUUAAAGAUUUAUUUAUUUAUUUGAAAGGCAGAGUUACAUAGAGAAGGAGAGGCAGAGAGAGAGGAGUUGGCCUUCCAUCUGCUGGUUCAUUCUUUAGUUGGCUGCAGCAGUUGGAGCUGUGCCAAUCUAAAGCCAGGAGCCAGGAGCUUCUUCUGGGUCUCCCACGUGGGUGCAGGGGCCCAAGGACUUGGGCCAUCUUUCACUGCUUUCCUAGGCCAUAGCAGAGAGCUGGAUUGGAAGUGGAGCAGCCGGGACCCAUAUGGGAUGCCGGCACUGCAGGCACCGGCUUUACUUGCUACGCCACAGUGCCCCUGUAAUAAGUUUUAAGUCUAAUGAAUUUGUUGCCUGGUUACUAUACUAAUUUUGCUUUUAACUACUAAUUAACUACUAAUUUUGCUUUUAUUUUCUUUAAAGAGACCAAAGAGUUUCUUUAGUUUCAGUAGUUUUUGAAAAAGGUACACACGGUAAGACUACAAAUAUAGGAAUGAUAUUUAUGUAUAUCCUAUAAUAUGAUAGAAAUUAUUUAUAAGCCUUAUGAGCAAAACCUAGAAUAAAACAACCAAUUGACAACUAAUAAAGUAUGUGGCUUUAUUCCCAAGUUGAACCAGAGCUCAUUAUUAGUCUUUGUCAUAAUAUUUUAUGUAACUGAAGAGAAUUGGAAAUGGGUGUUUAGAAACAAAUUAUUCUUGGGUAUUGAGCUUAAUUGGGAGUUUUAACUGUGGCUGGUACAGAUUUUUCAUAGAGUUUUGCUUUAAGCCAAUGAAUGUAAAUAGUAAUGGCAGUGGUUAGAGUUCAUUGUAAUGAUACUGUGAAGUAGGUAACAUUUUUAUCUCUUCAUCUGACUCAGUAAUCUACACACCAUGGGAAACUCAUGCAUUGCUCUUGUUAGACUUAGCUAGCUCUGCAGGCUAGUGGGUGUUAGGUAGCUUUGUAGUGUCUUGGUGAGAAGCUGUGCCUGAAAGGGGCAUUUCUCUAUCUAGUGUGUGCAUUCCCACAGCAGGUGCUAUUACUUCUCCCCCACACACUCCACUGAGAGAAAAUCCCCAGAGCAGAGGCUAUGGCCCCAUUGAUAAAAAAUAAACAAAUAGACUGACUACCACUGGGUUCCUUGGAUGUGUAGUUAAGUUUCUAAAAUUACCCCUAAGAGCAGAGACCUUGGCAGUGAAGCAUCUUCCUCCUCUUCUGGAAUGAGGUUGUUUUUCACUUCAUUGAAGAAGUAAGAGCUCCUUCACCUCUGUGUCUCUGGUGGUCAUUCUGUGCCCUGCUUCGCUGGCCACUUUGAGGUUUCUCGUGGCAGAGAGUGUUCAGGGUGCAAUAAUAGAUUUUACAAGUCCCGUUUCUGUUAGUGAAACCCAUGGGUCCUUGUUCUGUUAUUGGCUUACUUUCACACUUUUAUUAUAAAUCAAGACCACCUUGUUGGUAAUGCCACGUGGAUUUCAGUUAGUUUUCCGUGGACCUGACUUGUCCCAGACUACUGUACUUGAGUUUCUCUGUGUUUUUGAAUAGUCAUUUGUUACUGCUCCUAUCAUCAGGUAUUCGAUAAGAGCAGUUGUGUCUCCUGUUUGACAUUCUUCUGUAAGAUGGGUACAUUUUUAAUACACUCGUGCAAAUUCAGGAGAGACGUUAUAUUAUUUGUUCAUUUUCCUAGGGAAAUAACCAUGCUGCUCAGGGUGACCUUUAUUUUCUAAUCAAGUUGUAAUUUUCAUUAUCGGGCACACAUAAAUUACAAUGACAGGCACACAUUCUCUGUCAGUUUGGCACACCAUUAAGAUCAUUUGUAGUUACUGUAAUCUGUAGGAUUUGCAAGUUAUGUAUAUUUAAAGUAUCUGGACAACAAACAAGCAAGGGUAUAGGAUGAGAAAUAAAGCUAAUGGGAUGUUUUUGGGAGUGGGAGGUGAGGGAGACAAAGUUGAUUGAUAGGCUAGAAGACAAUAAAAGGAUAUGCGUACUAAGUAAGAAACAAAAGCAAAAAGGUGGUCAUCUUUGCAGUGCUAUUUUUAGGAUUGUGAACAUGCUAAAGGCAUAAAAUGUAUGCACGCUGUUCUUGAAUUUUAUGACUUAAACAGUGGAUGUAAAAUUAUUUCCAAUUGGGCAAGGACGAAUUAUUUGAUCUUCAAUACUUAAUCUCUUCUGGGUUUCUGAAUUGUUUUCCAAAUAUGGGAAGUACAUUUGUUAGAGAUUGUCCAGAGUUUGCUCCUGGUGUAAUUUUUUAUAUGGUUUUGUGGUACAUAGACUUUUUGUGAUGGUUGUAGCUUUUUUGUCUAUAAGGUAUUUUAACCUGCCUGCUCAUGAGAGAGGUCUGGUAAACAGAUGUGUGGGCUGCAGUUCUGGCUGCAUGUCGACUAGUUUCAGGACGGGGCAGGAAUUUUACCACCCCAAGUUUCCUCAUAUAUAAAGGGAGAUUAAAGUUGUGCCCCACCCCCACCCCCACCCCUGCCGGGCCCCCUUAAGGACCACUUACAUUCUCCUAGAGUUGAGUCUGAAUGUUGUGGGAGUAAUUACAGUGAACAUGGAGAAGUAGCUGUUUUUGGGCAACACUAGGGGAGUUGCUAGGUGUAUAGUAUGGCUUUUAAAAUGUCUAAUACCAUUAAAAUUUCUGUUCUGUGUUUGUUUUUAUGAGGAACUAAAAGAAGGAAAGGAAAUUACUUAAAAAUAUAAGGAAACCUUUAGUGCAUAUUUAAAGAAUCAUUGUAGGAUAUUUAAUGUGUCAUUCCAGCAUGUUGAUACUAAUGUGAAGAAAUUUGGAGUACCUUUCAUUUAUUCAAAUAUGAUUCAUAAUAGGCAUACAAGUUGGCAUUAGGACUACCAAAAUAGAUCAUAAUUUUUACUUGAAAUUGCUUCACUCAUUUCCUCUUUGGCUUCCCAUUAAAAAUAGUAGUUUUACCAAAAAAUGCCUGAAAAAAAAUAAAGUAAAAGGAUUGUCAACAAAUGGGUAGGUAGAAGGGAAUUAUGAGUUUUUCUAAUGCACUUAAAAUACAGUUCUGACAUAAACUAAGCUUUUAAAGCACGUCUGUGCCAGUUGGUAUUACUGAUACUAAUUUUGUGUGUUCAUUAAGGACUGCUUUUAAUGGAUUAUUAGAGAAUUAGGUAAUGUAAAUGGUAGUCUGGUUGAACAAGGUUGGCAUGUAUUCUACCUUGUUUUAGAAUGUAUUCUAUAUUGUGUUAGGAUAUUUGCUAUUCUGCCAUUUGAAUUUUGCUAAGGUAUAGUUUAACCCUGUCAUUUUUUAAAAAGAUUUAUUUAUUUUUAUUUGAAAGAGUUACACAGAAAAAGGAGAGGCAGAGAGAGAGAGGUCUUCCAUCUGAUGGUUCACUCCCCAAUUGGCUGCAACGGUCAGAACUGUGCCAAUCUGAAGCCAGGAGCCAGGAGCUUCUUCUGGGUCUCCCACACUGGUGCAGGGUCCUAAGGACUUGGGCCAUCUUCCACUGCUUUCCCAGGCCACAGCAGAGAGCUGGAUUGGAAGAGGAGCAGCCGGGACUAGAACCGGCGCCCAUAUGGGAUGCUGGUGCUUCAGGCCAGGGCAUUAACUCACUGAGCCACAGUGCUGGCCCCUAACCCUGUCAUUUUUAAACAGACGAGGUUUCACUUAGCUGCUGCUUCUCUGCCCCUUCGGCAUCUUUACCACAGUAGCAGAAUUUUUUAAAAGUAACCAUCAUUUAUUGUAACUCAUGUAUCUGUAGGCCAGCAGGGCUUGGCUGAUCUAGGCUUAGCUCCACAGGGUAACUCCCCUCCCUACAGAUGUGGGGACAGUGAGAGUGAUUGCUUCAUUUUUCUUAAAUGCAUGCAUUAGAUUGGGCUUAUACAUCAUCAUUUUUAUUUUUAAUGACUUUUUCUAUUCGUUUGAAAGGCUGAGAUAGAGAGGGAGAGACAGAGGCCUUCCAUCCACAGGUUCUCUCCCCCGAAUGGCCGUAAUGACUGGACCUGGACCAGACCAAAGGCAGGGCUGGGAGCUUCCUCUAAAUCUCCCACAUGGGUGCAAGGCCAUCCUCUGCUGCCUUCCCAGGCUCACCAGCAGGGAGCUGGAUUGGCAGUGGAGCCGCCAGGACCUAAACUGGCACCUUUUUACAUGAGAUGCUGGUGCUGCAGGCGUAGCUUAACCUGCUGUGCCACAGCACUUAGCCCUGGUAGCAGAAAUUUUACCCAUUAAAAAGUCAUGAUAGUUUAGAGAAGGUAGGAGUGUGCAUCUGAGCCUGCUGUGGUUAUUCAGGUUAGCAUGUUUUCUGGAGAAAUUUUUCUUAAUAGCUAGUCCCAUAUGUAUUUUCCACAAGCAAAUGGGGAGUCUUCUCAGUUUAGACUCCAGACCUUCUAUUGUGUAUAAUGCAUCACAUAACCAUCAGACUUCUUAGCUUAUGGCUUAUGGAGCUUGGUUAUAUUUCCCUUCUGGUGGUUGUGGUAGUGGUGUGUUAGAAGCAAUUUUACCUUUAAACUGAAUUGGAAGAAAAGGUGCAUUGUAUUCCCAUAAGCAAUGCUUUGAGCCCUACUAACUGUGGUUGCAACUAGCAGUAAUUAGAAUUUCCCAUUUUGUCUUUAAUUGUGCCACUUUUGCCUCUGUUAAACUCACGCUAAUGAUAUAUUCAUUUAUGCAUCCAUUUAGAUAUUUAUUGGAUGUUAACUGCAUGCUUGGGCAGAAUGGAAUAUAUAGAAGAAGAGCAUCAAUUUCUGCUCCACAGAUACUAUCACAUUCAGGAGAUGUACAUGAAGAAAACAAUUAGAAAUACUGAGAAGGGUUGGACCACUGGAGAUAUAAAGAAGAACCUUUUGGCCUUAGUCAUCAGCAGUGGAAAAGUAUUCACAUUUAUUAUGUUGAAGAUGUUUAAAGUAGCUUUGAUGUAGCAGAUUGUCCAAAUUUGGCCAACAGGAGCCCUUUGAAGCCGACUCAUGUUUAUGAGUGUGUCCGUGACCAUUUCUUAGGCUUGCAAGCUAUCCUGGACUCACCUUAUACUUUCCUUGCUCCAAACCUAGAAUCAGCCAUUUCUCUAACGAGUUGUGCUUUAUUUGCUUGGGGGGAUGAUACUCGGAGAUCUAAGAUCUGGGCAGCUUCCUGCUACUGGAGUGUCAUUGCUUCUAGGCCCUUUCAGUGGAGGGAGGUAUGUGUUUCUUUCUGGCUAUUUAUUUUAUACGUAGUUAUGUUAAUGUGUUUCUUUUUAUAUCAACUUUAGGUAGGCAUUUUCCCCUCAUCCUUGUUGAUUUAUUUUUGAGUCUGUAAAUUAACAUUGUUCAAAAAUCAAAUUUAUUAAAAGGAUUAUCUUCUUCCCUGUGUGUUACAACACAUUAUCUGUGUGAAAGCUGCAGCUCAAGUUUAUCCUUUCUAGUUUUCUUGCUGUGAUAGCCACAUAUACCUGCAUCCUUGUUUACUCUUCUUUCUUGCACGGCAGCCAACACAGUGUAUGCACUGAAGAUUGUCCUUUGAACCUUGAUAGAAUCUGCAUAUUGCUGCAGAGAUACUCCUCAUUUCUAUCUUUCUUCUUAUUUUUUUUUUUAAAGAUUUAUUUGAAAGGCAGAAUUACAGGGAGAGACAGAGAUCUUCCCAUCUGUUGGUUCACUCCUCAAAUGGCCACAGCGGCUGGAGCUGGGCCCGUCCAAAGCCAGGAGCUUCCUCUGGGUCACCUAUGUAGGUGCAGGGGCCCAGCACUUGGGCUGCCAUCCACUGCUUUUCUAGGUGUAUUAGCAGGGAGCUAGAUUGGAAGUGGUAUAGCUGGGCCUCAAACCAGUGUCUGUAUGGAAUGCUGGUGCCUCAGGCAGUGACCACCCACUGUGCCACAGUGCUGACCCCCUCAUUUCUUCUUCAUGGCUGCACAGUACUCCAUUGUGUAGGUGAUGCUUCUUGGGUCAUUCUCCAGAUCUCUCGUAUGUGGUCACUUAAAUGAUUUCCUAUAUUGUGCUAUUUCAAAUAAUGCCACAGUAAGUGUGUGUGUGGGUGUGGGUGUGGGUGUGGGUGUUGCUGAGAACAUAGCUUCAGGAGAGUUUCUUGUACUUGAUCAGAAGAGAAAUGUAUAGCUUGGUGAGAUACUGCCAAAUCACUCUUCCAUAAAGAAAACUGUACCAUAUCAGCAGUGUUGAAAUUACCUGUUUGCCCACCACUUAAGAUGUGUUCUUAAGCGUUUUAGUCUUUGUGGACUUGGGAUGAGAAACUGUCAUUGGUGAGAUGGAGUAGAGCCUAGGGAGGGAGAACAGCCUAUUUGUAUGAGCACUUCCUGGCUUUCUAGUUGAACACAGUAAACUAAACAGAGAUUUCUCUCUCCUUUCUCCUAUAGCCAUUAAAACAGGAAUAAAGAAAUACAAAGAAAGGGGUGUUAGGCAUAGUGGUUAAGACGCUACUUGGGAUGGCUGCAUCCUUUAUCAAAGUGCUUGGCUUUGAGUCCAGCUCUGAGCCCUUUUAUACCUUCCUGCUGAGGCACACUCUUGGAGGCAAUGGGUGAUGGCUCCAACUAGUUGGCUUCUGCAGAUCCUGACUGAGUUCCUGGCUCUUGGCUUCCACUGGCUCAGCCUCAGCUAUUGUGAACACUUGGGGGAAUGAAAGGGGUAGGAGUAGACUGGAUUGAUCUCUCUCUCUCCCUCUCUACCUUUCAAAUAAAACAUUUUUUAAAAAAGAAAAUAUAAAGAAAUUGAAGGGUUCUUUUAUUCAAACACUACAGUUUUAAAUUAUGGAUCGUUUGCAUAUUACUUGGGGAAAAUGUCUCUUUUAGAACUUUUGCCCAUUUUUUUCCUAGUAGUAUUUGGUUUUAUUUUCCUCAAUUGUAAGAAUACUUUAUAAAUGAUGUUA